This 503-nucleotide ribosomal RNA is filed under the name Scaphiopus couchii (Couch's spadefoot toad). RNAcentral describes it as "partial 16S ribosomal RNA". Lineage: Eukaryota; Metazoa; Chordata; Amphibia; Anura; Pelobatidae. The record is from RNAcentral.
CUGAGUGCUGUACUCAGUUUCGAAUUUUAGUUCAGCCUUAAAAAACCCCGGCACCACCAAGCAACCCUGUUUUUUAAGAGUAAUUCUAUAGAGGUACAGCUCUAUAGAAGAAGGACACAACCUACACCUUUGGGUAAUGAUCACAUCAACUAAAGAUCGAGAAAAAGUUGGCUUAAAAGCAGCCAUCUUAAAAGAAAGCGUCACAGCUCCCCCUCAAUCGACCUUUUAAUUAGGACAGAAAAUCAAAACCCAUCUAAACUAUUGAGUAUUCCUAUACACUUAUAGGAGAAUUAAUGCUAGAACUAGUAACUCAGAAUUAAACAUUCUCUUUAUGUGAGUGUAAAUCAGAUUGAAUAAAUCACUGAUAUUUAACAGCCUUACAGAAAGAAAUGUAAUAACUUAUCAAGAAAAAUUUACAUUACAAACUGUUAACCUUACACAAGAACAUACCAAGAAAGAUUUAAAGAUAUAGAAGGAACUCGGCAAAUCUAGGUCCCGCCUGU